Molecule: ribosomal RNA, 620 nt
Filed under: uncultured bacterium
Lineage: Bacteria
Description: bacterial SSU rRNA
Rfam family: Bacterial small subunit ribosomal RNA
Source: RNAcentral
GCUUAAUACAUGCAAGUCGAACGGUAACAGUCCCGGCAACGGGAGCUGACGAGUGGCGCACGGGUGCGUAACACGUAUGCAACCUACCCUUAACCGGGGCAUAACCCUGAGAAAUCGGGGCUAAUACCCCAUAGUAUUGUUUAGAGGCAUCUUAAGGCAAUUAAAGAUUUAUUGGUUAGGGAUGGGCAUGCGCCCCAUUAGUUAGUUGGUGAGGUAACGGCUCACCAAGGCGAUGAUGGGUAGGGGUUCUGAGAGGAUUAUCCCCCACACUGGUACUGAGACACGGACCAGACUCCUACGGGAGGCAGCAGUAAGGAAUAUUGGGCAAUGGAGGCAACUCUGACCCAGCCAUGCCGCGUGCAGGAAGACAGCCCUAUGGGUUUUAAACUGCUUUUCUAUGGGACUAACCACCUCUACGUGUAGGGGUUUGCAUGUACCAUAGGAAUAAGCAUCGGCUAACUCCGUGCCAGCAGCCGCGGUAAUACGGAGGAUGCGAGCGUUAUCCGGAUUUAUUGGGUUUAAAGGGUGCGUAGGCUGACAAAUAAGUCAGUGGUGAAAUACUUCGGCUUACCGGAGGGUUGCCAUUGAUACUGUUUGUCUGGAGUGUAAUCAAGUGGGCG